This 91-nucleotide transfer RNA is filed under the name Clostridiales bacterium. RNAcentral's name for it is "tRNA-Ser". It matches the Rfam family "tRNA". Rfam says of the family: Transfer RNA (tRNA) molecules are approximately 80 nucleotides in length. Their secondary structure includes four short double-helical elements and three loops (D, anti-codon, and T loops). Further hydrogen bonds mediate the characteristic L-shaped molecular structure. tRNAs have two regions of fundamental functional importance: the anti-codon, which is responsible for specific mRNA codon recognition, and the 3' end, to which the tRNAs corresponding amino acid is attached (by aminoacyl-tRNA synthetases). tRNAs cope with the degeneracy of the genetic code in two manners: having more than one tRNA (with a specific anti-codon) for a particular amino acid; and 'wobble' base-pairing, i.e. permitting non-standard base-pairing at the 3rd anti-codon position. RNAcentral also lists the same sequence under 2 other names. Lineage: Bacteria; Bacillati; Bacillota; Clostridia; Eubacteriales. The record is from RNAcentral.
GGAGACGUAUCGAAGUGGUCAUAACGAGAACGACUCGAAAUCGUUUGACGGUUAACCCCGUCCGUGGGUUCGAAUCCCACCGUCUCCGCCA